UACAGAGGUCCCAAGCGUUGUUCGGAUUCAUUGGGCGUAAAGGGUGCGUAGGCGGCGCGCUAAGUCGGGUGUGAAAUUUCGGAGCUUAACUCCGAAACUGCAUUCGAUACUGCCGUGCUUGAGGACUGGAGAGGAGACUGGAAUUUACGGUGUAGCGGUGAAAUGCGUAGAUAUCGUAAGGAAGACCAGUGGCGAAGGCGGGUCUCUGGACAGUUCCUGACGCUGAGGCACGAAGGCCAGGGGAGCAAACGGG
This 253-nucleotide ribosomal RNA is filed under the name uncultured bacterium. RNAcentral's name for it is "partial 16S ribosomal RNA". It matches the Rfam family "Bacterial small subunit ribosomal RNA", at positions 524 to 776 of the family's 1533-position model. The record is from RNAcentral.